Molecule: long non-coding RNA, 5960 nt
Organism: Gasterosteus aculeatus aculeatus (three-spined stickleback)
Lineage: Eukaryota; Metazoa; Chordata; Actinopteri; Perciformes; Gasterosteidae
Source: Ensembl
GGACUGUGACCACGCCCCCAAAUUCCACGCGAUCAUUGACAUCUUCAUCUCUCGGGUGUCAGCGAUCAUUUACACAGCGGGAAGGAGGAUAGCAAAGCAGAGGACAGACAAGCCAAAGUGGGGAUUUGUCCCGUACCGGUUACAACGUGUUGACGGGUUUUUCUGUGUCUUUAGCUCAGCCGGACCGUAUAAUCGCUCAUAGCAUCCCCUUUGUUCUCUGUGAAGUCUGCCAGAAGGGAUUGAACGUGGGUCCGUUUGAAAAAAUUGCCUUCAAUAACUGAAAAGUCGCUUGUAAGCAACCAGUCUAAUGGAAAUUUAGGAGGAAAUUUGCCCUUUUGUGCUUUAAUCAAAUUGUAAAGCAGUUACUCAACUCCUGACAUUUGCUGUUGUUAUUCUGCGACGAUGCUUUGUGAGGAAGGAAUAAUGACACGAUCAUCAAACAAACUCUAAAAGUGGCUCAUUCAAGGUUAGGUUAUCCGGGUCGGACACGGUUGCACCGUUUGAACAUUGUGAAGCACAAAGCGUUUUGCACCAGCGACAAGCGGUGCGUCAUCGGUGAUUCAUUCGGCAUGUGUGCCGAGCGGUUCCUCCCCCGGAGCUACUGCAACAAUUAGCAACAAAACACCAUCUCGCCAGAAGCAGACAUAUUUGUCAUUUGAGCACCGGCUCUCUGAUGAAUCUUAUUGUUUCAGUGAAAACGAAGCACCUGCGUCAGCAAGACAGAGCGACCAAAAUAAAAACGUUUUAGGCGCAAAGCCGGCGUAUUCGUAGAGAGAUCGUGGCGCAGAGGCAGCGAGAGGGAAGAGGCACCAGGCGUGUGCGGAGUGACUGUAGGUAUAUAAACCCACAGUGCUGAUUGUGUGUGUACGUGCCGUAUACUAUUGUGUAAUCCGGCCCUAAUCCCUGCCGGCGGCAUCCGGCAGCUGGAUAUUAAAGCCGUUUUAUUUACGGUUUCCCCUCCGAGUGUCACCCGGCUGUGAUGUCACCACCUGCCACAGCGACUGAACCUUGACCUCUCCGCCUAAAGAAAUAAAUAAAUGAAAGCAAUCAUUGGGGCAUUUGAGGGUCGCCCAUGUUUACUGGAGUCUUUUUUUUUUUACUGUUCUAAGCUGUCAAUCAUUCCUGCCUUUCAAGUGCUUGUUGCGAAUAACGCGGCUCACUCUGAGAGUGUGCGAGCGCGUCUCUUCAGCCAGUUUGCAUGACGAGCACCAUGAGAAAAAACAAAAAAAAACAUCCAGUUGCCCGGGGCAAUUAAUAAAUCAGAUCGCAGCGAUGGAUCUCUUGGAAGGCGCCGUUCCAUUAAUCGCCAUCGCCGUCCUCUUCCCGUGUCUCCGAUCUCGGCGAUGCCGUUCGCGGUUCCUAAUUAAAUUGUACUUUCUGUCGAUUGUGCUCAUUACUCAAAGCAAAACCAAUCAGCGGUCUGCAGCUGGGCCUCGCCGCGUGCAAAGACACGGGAGUAAACGCCGGUGGAGGGGCGCGACGUGGGUGGGUGGAGAGGUCUGCGUGUACGUCGCGGCGGCCCACCCGGGGGUUUAUUUCCGAUUCCUAUAUUUCCUUGUUGUCUCCUCAUGCUCAGCCUGGCAGAACGUUUGCUUCGUACCAAGAUCUGUCGCGUCGUCCCGCAAUCAAACCACCCGGAGGCUGAACUUCUCUGUAAUGUUUGUCCAGGGAACCUAAACCCAGCGAGCCGUCCUCUUAGGGGCCCCGCCGGGGCCGCUUGCUGGUAAGUGUCCUGUGCGAAGAACACAUGGACGAUAGUUGCUUUGAGACUAGUGGGGGCUUUCAGUCAGUUUCACCACACAUUUGAGAAUUCUCCUGUCAGGAUCUACGAUCCCCCCGAGUUGGUUGAUGAGAAGAAUCGCAGCACGUUGAUCAAUUAAAGUCAAAAAGUUAACAUUUAUUUAGAAGAGAAAAAGAUGACAUGAGCAAUUCUCCGCAGAUAUCUGGCUCUAACUAUUGCCCAUAGGCACGUAUCUCGGCGCUCGGCGUAAUGACGUCUCCGAGCAGUGAGAACGCUGAGUUUUUAUACACAUGUGAAGGACAUUCUCCGUGCCAGUUACGAGAAGCUGCAAAGCAGGUUGAGAUAAGAACCCAGGUGAAGCUGAGGGUAGCACACACACACACACAAGAUCCUCCUCAGUGGCCGGUGCCAAUCAUUAUUAAUUGACAUAAAGUAAAAACGUGGAUCCGGAACGAAAGCUCCGAAUAAGAUACGAACCAAGGCCAUGAACAGGAGUCCUUUGUUUUGAAGCUUCUACGAGAUCGAGUCGACCGUCCUCCCUUCUCAGUGCGCAGCUGCACAGCAACAUGUUGUAUCAUGCUGCUCCUUCAGGGUCAAAUACAGGACACUUGAGACACGGCCUUAGCACAAAACAACGUUAUAAUAUAUUUGACCACCACAUGCAUCUCACACUUGUUGUUGUAGCCGUUUGUAUUGUGGCUUUUUUGAGGAAAUUGUACCUUGUUGAUUGUGGUUGUUCCCGGUCUGCACCCUCUUGGUUAAAUGCACUUGUUGUAAGUCGUCCCGGAUAAAAGCGUCGGCUAAAUGAAAAAUGUAAAUGUGUUCGCCACGCGAUGGGGAGGGGGGGGGGGGGCUGAGAUAAAUAGUCACACUGAGGGAAGCGAUAAUGGACUUUUCUUGUCUGCACUGUGUCAGCGUCCUCAGACGAUGACAGACGCGCUGAUGUGUUUAACUGCUCGCGCUCAGACAGCGAGAGGAGACGAGAGACAGCGGGGACAGACCACGCGGGGGAGACGUGGACGGGGGGGGGGGAGAAAAAGAUGCUGACGCUCAUCAACUCCCUUCCACAUUGCCAUUGGCAACCAGACCUCCUGCGCUCUGACAGACGCAGGGUAAUAAAGACGGCUUCAGGUGAAAUCCGUGUGCCUCCCCCCCCCCCCCCUCUCUCUCAACUGUCACUCACCUAUCUGUUCCCGGAGAACUACCACUGGAGAAGUGAGUAUCGGUUUGGAACAUUUUAACUUGAGCGUUUUGUGGUGUUGAAGGAAACAGUUUUUUCUGCAGAUGGUUGGAGGUUUUCUGUUGGGGGUUAAAUUGUUUUAGAUAGAUGGAUAGAUUGAUACUUUAUUUGGGUGUCACAGCAGCAUGUACAGGGAAGAAAUCGGAAUUAAAAGAUACACAUUAUAUACAAUAUAAUAAGAUAAAAAAUAUUAAAUUAAAUGAACUAAACUAAAACCCAAGAAUAACCUUCAAGUGUUCGAGUGUCAUUGCACUGGGCAGGAAUGAUCUCCUGUAUCGCUCCUUGUGACAGCGGAGCUGAACGGGUCUGUUGGAGACCCUGGAGUUGGCGUUCCGUUAAUCUCACCUCCACCCUCCUCCUCCGUCCUAUUUGUGAAAAAGGAAAAACAAGAUGGCCGACAGUGGCUAACUCCUCAUUUACAGGUUCUCCUCGGUGUGUCUGAGGACUUUGGAGGUUUCAUUAACGAACACGGGCACCAACCACCAAACAUAAGUGACAAAACAUGUUUGCAAAAAGAUCAACUGGGUCCCUUUUCGAAACAAACGCUUUCAUCCGUCUCCUGUUGGGUCGAGUGCGAGAGAGGAAGGAGGGGAGAGAGCGCCUCGGCUGUCGGAUUCAUUGGCCACUUCAUCUUCUAACCGGUUUCCCCUCGCCGUGGCGUCCGUUUGUCACCGCCAACGCACCCCCAUGUCUCACUUUGCUGAGGAUGUGCGUGUGUGCGUGUGUGCGUGUGUGUGUGUGUGUGUGUGUGUGCGUGUGUGUGUGUAGCGAGCCUCGAGCAGGAGACACAGACAGAUGGGUCGACUCCCACUGGUCACAUGUGUUUGCUCUCCCUCAGAACGCUCUGCCAGGAGGUCCGGACCCGUGCGCCGCCGAGCGCAACGCGACCGCCGGGGGGUUUGCUGGUUUAAAACCCCCCCCGAGGCCGGCCGUUUCCUGGAAACGUGGACGAGGACGGCGGAGUGAUCGGGCCCGUCCGGCCCCUCCACAUCCGCUCGGUUUACCACACUGCAGCCCCGGCUCCUCCGCACAGCGGCCUACACGCGUCACUAACAUCUGCCUUUAACUCAAGGGCAAGGGCAACUUUGCCCCCCCCCGACUCCCCCGACAGUUUUAUUGUCUUUCCUUCUUCUGAGCCCCGCGGCGCUCGGUUCAACAUCUGCUGCCGUCUCGGGGAACGAGGCACACACACACACAGACACACACACACACACACGCACACACAAAUGAAAGGUCACAGACUAAGUUCUAAUAUUCAACACAGAUGAGCACUUUGAACAAUAAGGCGCUACUUGAAUUUGAGUGUAGAUACAGAUGUGUUCGAUCAGAUUCUCGGGAUAGAAAGUGAAGAGCUUUGCCAUGCGGGACGUGAAAACAGCUCUGACAGAGCGCGUCGCUCUGCAUCGGGACGCUUUGUGUCGCUGCGCUGACAAGUGUUAGAAAUUCUGUGAUGUUUCACAUCUUUGCGUCAUCUUCGGCGAAUGUUGUUUUGCAGUGUUAGAAUCGAGCCGCAGCGUCCAAGACAAACAAAAAAAAACCCCGCAGAGGCCCGACAAACCGGUUUCGACCGCUGGACAUCUCGCUGUGCGUGUGUGGACAGAAGGUGUGCUUUUCAUCGCGUUUCUCCCAGAUAUAAUUGUCUGCUGCCGCCCAGUUCGCCUUUUGGUUGCUCCGUUCAUCCCUGCAGGGAAUAGACGCCGGCGAUCGGACAAACACGCGCGUGGGUUUAGCCGGAAAACGAGCAGCGGAUUUCAUCGUUUUCUGGGACAGUUGUUUGCUUGUCCUCCCGCAGCUGUUGAAACCGGGAGGUGAGCGAAAGAGGAGGAACCCCCGGGCGGUUCGAGGUGGUCUCCAUGGCAACCGCUGAACCCGCUGCAGAGACGACGGCCAUGACGAGCUCCUCCGGCAGUCACAAACUCACGCGGGGAGCGGUGGCGGCGGCGGCGAGGACGAAACUCCCCCCUCAGACUGGAAAUCAAUGCAAACAUUCAGCUCACGGUUUCAGGACGUCUCAGCCUCCACUCGGCCCAAAUACACAAUGUUGUUUUCACAGUGUAACUGAUGCCCGUUGUGGACGCCUGCGCAGUGAGAGCUGUGUGUGUGUGUGCGUGUGUGUGUGUGUGUGUGUGUGUGUGCGUGUUCACAGAUGGUGCCGGCCAAUUAGAGAAGGAGAGAGGAAGGGGAGCCAUUAGUGCGCAAUUAGCUCUGAUUGCCUCAACAUUGUUUUUGUGGGCGGCGGCGGCGGCGCUCUGUGAAAUGACCAAAUGGCGCGCGGGCCUCCUGCUCUGGCCCCUCCCACCGCCGCCCGCAGCCAACGUGACGCACUGACGUCGUCGCGGUGCUUUUUCUUCCCACUUCUCACUCUGUCUCAGCCCCUCGCUUGGUCUCCGCCCGUUGCUCAAUAUUUUUGACUGAUGCGUUGUCUCCGCCCCCCCCGUAUCCCAAUGUGUCGACUUUUUCACUUAACUCUAUUUCAGCAAGCCCCCUCCUCCUCCCUCCUCCUCCCUCCUCCUCCCUCCUCCAGCUUCUAAUUACCAGCGUGACAAAUGCCUUGCUAGGGCUGUCGUAUAAAAGCGAUUUCCUUUCCUCGCCCUUUCUCUCUUCAGCGUUUCUUUUCAUGCAUAUCUUUCCUUCUUUUCAUUUGUAGAUGUCAGCACCGAGAACGCUGCCGAGCGCUUUUUCUGCAGCGUGACAUUGUUAAAAAGAAGAAAGACUCUUGCAGAACUUGGUGUGACCAAGCUGACCAGGGUGGUCAUAUCCAACACCCCUUUAAGGGGGGGCCACGGCGCGUUCGUGCACGUGUUUCGGCCCCCAAAAUCAACCAAAAACGUUUCUUUCGUCAAACUGAAUGAGGAUGAAACACAAAGAUUGCAUUGGUAAAGGUGUAAUUAUUGAUUCCCUGGUAGCUUCUUGAAGUCCAAACACAACCCAUCCGCCUCUGUGAACAAGCUGAAUGUGAAAACUGUUGAUUGGCGACAC